Molecule: ribosomal RNA, 460 nt
Filed under: uncultured bacterium
Lineage: Bacteria
Description: partial 16S ribosomal RNA
Rfam family: Bacterial small subunit ribosomal RNA
Source: RNAcentral
CCUACGGGGGACUGCAGUGAGGAAUAUUGGUCAAUGGGCGCUAGCCUGAACCAGCCAAGUAGCGUGAAGGAUGACUGCCCUAUGGGUUGUAAACUUCUUUUAUAUGGGAAUAAAGUGCAGUAUGUAUACUGCUUUGCAUGUACCUUAUGAAUAAGGAUCGGCUAACUCCGUGCCAGCAGCCGCGGUAAUACGGAGGAUCCGAGCGUUAUCCGGAUUUAUUGGGGUUAAAGGGAGCGUAGGCGGGUUGUUAAGUCAGUUGUGAAAGUUUGCGGCUCAACCGUAAAAUUGCAGUUGAUACUGGCAGCCUUGAGUACAGUAGAGGUAGGCGGAAUUCGUGGUGUAGCGGUGAAAUGCUUAGAUAUCACGAAGAACUCCGAUUGCGAAGGCAGCCUGCUGGACUGUAACUGACGCUGAUGCUCGAAAGUGUGGGUAUCAAACAGGAUUAGAUACCCCUGUAGUC